RNAcentral lists this ribosomal RNA (1243 nucleotides) under Yersinia enterocolitica. RNAcentral's name for it is "partial 23S ribosomal RNA". It matches the Rfam family "Bacterial large subunit ribosomal RNA", at positions 344 to 1508 of the family's 2925-position model. The record is from RNAcentral. Lineage: Bacteria; Pseudomonadati; Pseudomonadota; Gammaproteobacteria; Enterobacterales; Yersiniaceae.
GGAAAGUCGCACGGUACAGGGUGAUAGUCCCGUACACAAAAAUGCAUACGUUGUGAGUUCGAUGAGUAGGGCGGGACACGUGACAUCCUGUCUGAAUAUGGGGGGACCAUCCUCCAAGGCUAAAUACUCCUGACUGACCGAUAGUGAACCAGUACCGUGAGGGAAAGGCGAAAAGAACCCCGGCGAGGGGAGUGAAAUAGAACCUGAAACCGUGUACGUACAAGCAGUGGGAGCACCUUCGUGGUGUGACUGCGUACCUUUUGUAUAAUGGGUCAGCGACUUAUAUUUUGUAGCAAGGUUAACCGAAUAGGGGAGCCGUAGGGAAACCGAGUCUUAACUGGGCGAAUAGUUGCAAGGUAUAGACCCGAAACCCGGUGAUCUAGCCAUGGGCAGGUUGAAGGUUGGGUAACACUAACUGGAGGACCGAACCGACUAAUGUUGAAAAAUUAGCGGAUGACUUGUGGCUGGGGGUGAAAGGCCAAUCAAACCGGGAGAUAGCUGGUUCUCCCCGAAAGCUAUUUAGGUAGCGCCUCGUGAACUCAUCUUCGGGGGUAGAGCACUGUUUCGGCUAGGGGGUCAUCCCGACUUACCAAACCGAUGCAAACUCCGAAUACCGAAGAAUGUUAUCACGGGAGACACACGGCGGGUGCUAACGUCCGUCGUGAAGAGGGAAACAACCCAGACCGCCAGCUAAGGUCCCAAAGUCAUGGUUAAGUGGGAAACGAUGUGGGAAGGCACAGACAGCCAGGAUGUUGGCUUAGAAGCAGCCAUCAUUUAAAGAAAGCGUAAUAGCUCACUGGUCGAGUCGGCCUGCGCGGAAGAUGUAACGGGGCUAAACCAUGCACCGAAGCUGCGGCAGCGAACGUAUCACCCAAGACAAUUCACGGCAGUGGAUAAUGAUUGACGGAGCGCAGCGACGUCAAUGCGUCCAAUAAAGUCGAGUUGGCUUAGGGAUACGUUCGUUGGGUAGGGGAGCGUUCUGUAAGCCGUUGAAGGUGACCUGUGAGGGUUGCUGGAGGUAUCAGAAGUGCGAAUGCUGACAUAAGUAACGAUAAUGCGGGUGAAAAACCCGCACGCCGGAAGACCAAGGGUUCCUGUCCAACGUUAAUCGGGGCAGGGUGAGUCGACCCCUAAGGCGAGGCUGAAAAGCGUAGUCGAUGGGAAACAGGUUAAUAUUCCUGUACUUGGUGUUACUGCGAAGGGGGGACGGAGAAGGCUAGGCUAGCCGGGCGACGGUUGUCCC